UCCUACAUUUGCGGACAUAUUUGAAGUGGUGCUUUGCAAUUUAUUUACUGUAAACACAAGUAUUUUAGCCAAAUAUAAUUUAUGAAAUGGCAAACCAGAAUGAAACAACAGCAGAUAUCAGCUCCCGCUAAAGCAAAAGACGACUACAUGCGUAGGUUAGUGCGCAGGUGUAGAGCGCGCGGCCGUCUGCAGGAGGUUUGCUGGAACGCGAUCCUGAGGUGAAAUUUCUUUAAGAGGUUUUAAAAACGUUCUACACUGUGGAGUACAGCUGCGAGUGAUGUUAGCAGGUUCCGCAUGCUGGAUAAGAACAGCAUUUGUGAGACGACAUCAACUCAUCAUCCGAGUGGACAAGAACACCAACAGAGGAAGCCAAGCCGCAAAAACAAUGAAAAAUUGUCAUGACUUUUUAUUUUAAAUAAAAGUUAUGUGAUAAUAAACA
Non-coding RNA from Paramisgurnus dabryanus, 439 nucleotides. Lineage: Eukaryota; Metazoa; Chordata; Actinopteri; Cypriniformes; Cobitidae. The record is from RefSeq and is a predicted model, not a curated record.